RNAcentral lists this unclassified non-coding RNA (224 nucleotides) under Hevea brasiliensis (rubber tree). The record is from RNAcentral. Lineage: Eukaryota; Viridiplantae; Streptophyta; Magnoliopsida; Malpighiales; Euphorbiaceae.
GCAGAUCCAUCACGAUGCUCGCCAUCCUAAGAUCCCCUUUGAGGAAGAUAAGGUCGUGAAUUUACAUGCUAGUCUUGUAGCCGAACCCUCUAAGCCGCGUCCCGGUGUUAGGGGCAGCUUCAAGAAGUGAAGGGUGAGGGCGAAGGUUAUAAAGAUUAAAAUUUCCCAAGUGUUUUCUGUAUUUGUUUUUCUGGAUGUCAUUGGGAAGCUAUGAUGAUAUUAAU